Molecule: ribosomal RNA, 541 nt
Filed under: uncultured bacterium
Lineage: Bacteria
Description: bacterial SSU rRNA
Rfam family: Bacterial small subunit ribosomal RNA
Source: RNAcentral
UGGGGAAUCUUGGACAAUGGGGGCAACCCUGAUCCAGCCAUGCCGCGUGAGUGAUGAAGGCCUUAGGGUCGUAAAGCUCUUUCGCCUGUGAAGAUAAUGACGGUAGCAGGUAAAGAAACCCCGGCUAACUCCGUGCCAGCAGCCGCGGUAAUACGGAGGGGGUUAGCGUUGUUCGGAAUUACUGGGCGUAAAGCGCACGUAGGCGGACCAGAAAGUUGGGGGUGAAAUCCCGGGGGCUCAACCCCGGAACUGCCUCCAAAACUAUUGGUCUAGAGUUCGAGAGAGGUGAGUGGAAUUCCAAGUGUAGAGGUGAAAUUCGUAGAUAUUUGGAGGAACACCAGUGGCGAAGGCGGCUCACUGGCUCGAUACUGACGCUGAGGUGCGAAAGUGUGGGGAGCAAAACAGGAUUAGAUACCCUGGUAGUCCACACCGUAAAACGAUGAAUGCCAGUCGUCGGGUAGCAUGCUAUUCGGUGACACACCUAACGGAUUAAGCAUUCCGCCUGGGGAGUACGGUCGCAAGAUUAAAACUCAAAGGAAUU